RNAcentral lists this ribosomal RNA (457 nucleotides) under uncultured bacterium. Its description in RNAcentral is "bacterial SSU rRNA". It matches the Rfam family "Bacterial small subunit ribosomal RNA", at positions 31 to 524 of the family's 1533-position model. The record is from RNAcentral.
GAACGNNGGCGGCGUGCCUAAUGCAUGCAAGUCGAACGCACGCGCUUCGGUGCGUGAGUGGCGCACGGCUGAGGAACACGUGGGUGACCGGUCUGCGCGUGGGGGAUAACGACGCGAAAGCGGCGCUAAUCCCGCAUACGCUCCUUCGGGAGGAAAGCCGCAAGGCGCGCGCAGGAGGGCCUGCGGCCCAUCAGGUAGUUGGUAUGGGUAACGGCCUACCAAGCCCAUGACGGGUUCCUGGUCUGAGAGGACGACCAGGCAGACUGGGACUGAGACACGGCCCAGACUCCUACGGGAGGCAGCAGCAAGGAAUUUUCCGCAAUAGGCGCAAGCCUGACGGAGCAACGCCGCGUGCAGGACGACGGCCUUCGGGUUGUAAACUGCUUUUCGGCGGGACGAUGAUGACGGUACCGNCGGAAGAAGCCCCGGCUAACUCCGUGCCAGCAGCCGCGGUAAG